CUUAGGAUAGUCGGUAGAUAGCUCACUUUGUUGAGGGCUACAGUUGGACUUGCAUCCUCAAAAACUGUAAGUUUAUUGUUUUUAAUAGCUUUUGGUCGUUCGUGGGCUCACAUGUCACUAUAAAUUAAAUUUUAUACUUUGGUUAUCUGUAUUACAGUAUGUAUGAAUUUAUUUAGCUUUUACGCUACAAAAAUUAUUUACCGGUAACUCUAUAAAUAUUGUUUUAUAAGAAAAU
RNAcentral lists this long non-coding RNA (235 nucleotides) under Theobroma cacao (cacao). RNAcentral's name for it is "long non-coding RNA (TCAC_LNC002306)". The record is from RNAcentral. Lineage: Eukaryota; Viridiplantae; Streptophyta; Magnoliopsida; Malvales; Malvaceae.